GAUGAAGAACGCAUCGAAAUGCGAUAAGUAAUGUGAAUUGCAGAAUUCAGUGAACCAUCGAAUCUUUGAACGCUCAUUGCGCCCGGCAGUAAUCUGCCGGGCAUGCCUGUCCGAGCGUCAUUUCUACCCUCGAGCGAGUCCAGCAUCUAGGUGCUGGGCCUCGCCCGGCGUUGGAGCACUACGGGAAGCCCUGUGCUGUCCCCCGUAGGCCCCGAAAUGAAGUGGCGGUCCUGCCGCGGCGCCCCCUGCGUAGUAUAACAGCUCGCUUCGGGACCCGGUGGAGGCCUGCCGUCAAACCUAUACUCUCUAAGUUUGACCUCGGAUCAGGUAGGGUUACCCGCUGAACUUAAGCAUAUCAAUAAGCGGAGGA
This 370-nucleotide unclassified non-coding RNA is filed under the name soil metagenome. RNAcentral's name for it is "partial contains 5.8S ribosomal RNA, internal transcribed spacer 2, and large subunit ribosomal RNA". The stretch from base 1 to 120 matches the Rfam family "5.8S ribosomal RNA", at positions 35 to 154 of the family's 154-position model. The record is from RNAcentral.